UACGGAGGGUGCAGGCGUUGUCCGGAUUUAUUGGGUUUAAAGGGUGCGUAGGCGGCCUAAUAAGUCAGUGGUGAAAGCCUCCAGCUUAACUGGAGAACUGCCAUUGAUACUGUUAGGCUUGAGUAUACUUGAGGUAGGCGGAAUUGACAGUGUAGCGGUGAAAUACAUAGAGAUGUCAUAGAACACCGAUUGCGAAGGCAGCUGACGAAACUAUAACUGACACUGAGGCUCGAAAGUGUGGGGAUCAAACAGG
RNAcentral lists this ribosomal RNA (253 nucleotides) under uncultured bacterium. RNAcentral describes it as "partial 16S ribosomal RNA". It matches the Rfam family "Bacterial small subunit ribosomal RNA", at positions 524 to 776 of the family's 1533-position model. The record is from RNAcentral.